RNAcentral lists this long non-coding RNA (533 nucleotides) under Prunus dulcis (almond). RNAcentral describes it as "sRNA ncRNA". The record is from RNAcentral. Lineage: Eukaryota; Viridiplantae; Streptophyta; Magnoliopsida; Rosales; Rosaceae.
ACCCAAUUCAAGCCUUUGUUAAUUCCUUGGUAGUAUUUGCAGUUAAUAAAUUAGUAGAAGAUGGGUUAUCACAGUAAUCUUGAUAAGGUCCGUAAUAAGAGGGCCAAGUUUCCCUACACAAAGGAGCAGAUAAGGAACGUCUUCAAACGUCAUGACAAGAAUGGAGAUGGUCAACUUUCCAAAGAUGAGCUGGAUGCAGCCUUCAAAGAACUUGGCUCGAUAUGGCCUCCUGGUAGAGCUUGGUUUGCUCAACGGUAUGCAGAUGACGACGGCGAUGGCUUCAUUUCUAUAGACAAGGAGCUCAGCAAGCUCGUCCAGUAUGCCCUAGAAUUGAAGUAUACACUUAAGUAAUUAUAGUAUUAGUGGGUAACUAGUUCUUGUAUGUGCUUGCUAUAGAUAUAUUCCCAGCAAGCUCGUUGACUAUGCCCUCAAUUGAAUCUCUAUAUAUGUAAUCGUAGUGGUGGAGCUAAACUUGGUGUCUUAGUGGCCACAACCACUUCAAGUCUAUAUGUAACUCUGUCCGUGUGUAAGCG